AUCCAGCCCUCUGCAGCUGUACGUCAGUACCUCCAGAGCUUCCAUGACAUUGUAAAUGAGGAGCCCAUUUACUGGCUGGUGUCUCUGUUGCCCAGAGCCCUGCUCAGACCUUACCUGGCACAGAACCUGCCCCUGGGAGAGAGGACCAGACCAGGCCCCAGCCCCUGCCUCUACCCCUGGCUAAACCUCUUCCCCUGCCCCUGCUACCAGUGGGGGAGAGGACAUGAAGCCAGACCAGAGGAACCAGAAGGAUGAGUCUGGGACAUAUUACAGGCAUCUACUGGAGAAGUACCAGGAUGUGAUAGACGUCUAUAAGGCUGUCAACAUCUUCAGAGCCCCAGAUGAUCAACGAGAAGUCUCUCUUCACCUCCAGCUGGUUUCCCACUGGUGACGAGGAGGAAGAGGAGGACCAACCCAACCUGUGGUCUGUGGAGUCUGGUCCUGACGUUAGGGUGAAGCUGUAGCAGUGCAGCUGUAGAAUACAGGGAGCUGAGUGUGUAAGGCUGUGUGUGUGUUGGCUUUCACACUGGGCAGGACUGUUCCUCUUGUCAGACAUAUUCCAAUAUUCCACUUUUAUGUUAGUAACUUCCCUCAAAUAUCUACUGUUUAAACUG
Oncorhynchus keta (chum salmon) is the source of this 614-nucleotide long non-coding RNA. RefSeq lists it as uncharacterized. Lineage: Eukaryota; Metazoa; Chordata; Actinopteri; Salmoniformes; Salmonidae. The record is from RefSeq and is a predicted model, not a curated record. The transcript has 4 exons.